AGAGCGAACGCUGGCGGCAGGCCUAACACAUGCAAGUCGAGCGCUCCGCAAGGGGAGCGGCAGACGGGAGAGUAACACGUGGGAACGUACCCUUCAGUUCGGAACAACCCAGGGAAACUUGGGCUAAUACCGAAUACGUCCGUAAGGAGAAAGAUUUAUCGCUGAAGGAUCGGCCCGCGUCUGAUUAGCUUGUUGGUGAGGUAACGGCUCACCAAGGCGACGAUCAGUAGCUGGUCUGAGAGGAUGAUCAGCCUCACUGGGACUGAGACACGGCCCAGACUCCUACGGGAGGCAGCAGUGGGGAAUAUUGGACAAUGGGCGCAAGCCUGAUCCAGCCAUGCCGCGUGGGUGAUGAAGGCCCUAGGGUUGUAAAGCCCUUUCGGCGGGGAAGAUAAUGACGGUACCCGCAGAAGAAGCCCCGGCUAACUUCGUGCCAGCAGCCGC
RNAcentral lists this ribosomal RNA (444 nucleotides) under uncultured bacterium. RNAcentral describes it as "SSU rRNA". It matches the Rfam family "Bacterial small subunit ribosomal RNA", at positions 26 to 518 of the family's 1533-position model. The record is from RNAcentral.